AAGCAGCAAGCUGCGCUGGCGAUUUAUACUAGACGAAGCCAUUGCAACGUGACACUGUGAGAAAGUCAACAAAUAUAGAAGAGAAGAAAAGGCUGAAAGAAAGAAUAAGAAAUUAAGGAGCGUGAAAGUAAGUUUGAACCGAAGAGAUGAGCUUCUCUUGAUGUUGAUGUGGAUUACGUCGACAAUGAUGAAGAAUCUAAUCCCUGUCCUGGACUCCAGUACGUAGCAUUCGCAGAUUGUUGUUGGCUGCUUUGUAUAUAAUGGAAAUUCCAUGAGGUCACAAUUUAAACGUCAGAAGGCACUAUGAGACAUUAUAGAGUAUCUCAAGUAAAAGAAAGCCAUCAAUAAUUAUAUGGUUAGGUUUUUUCAUGUGAAACAUAAUUGUCACUGGAACUACCAGUGAAUGGUGUUAUUUUUGUUUGUAGGUUGAGAAGAGUCGAUUGAAACUUCUGAAGAUUGUAAUCAAUUAUCAACAAUCCUCCCACCCAUCCUUUUACAGCAGUUUCCAACAUCCUCAUAAAUUAGAGUCUGUUGAAUUAAUUAAGAGAGAUUUCAUAAUCUUGUUUGCUCUGACCAUGGGUAAUUGACUAAUUCUCAAAUAUUCGUUGUGUAAAAUGAAAAAGGUGAGAAGAAGCCAGUUAGAUCUGGAUUUCUGAUAUCAAUUCAUGAUUCAAUUAAUUAGUGAGUAUGGAUGACAGUACAACUCAUGUUCUCUCCAACCCACUUCUUGUGAGAUGAUUUCUACAUGACUUACCCUUCAUUUCUCACGCUUUC
Long non-coding RNA from Corticium candelabrum, 774 nucleotides. RefSeq lists it as uncharacterized. The record is from RefSeq and is a predicted model, not a curated record. NCBI's taxonomy places the organism in Eukaryota, Metazoa, Porifera, Homoscleromorpha, Homosclerophorida, Plakinidae. The transcript has 3 exons.